Molecule: ribosomal RNA, 367 nt
Filed under: uncultured bacterium
Lineage: Bacteria
Description: bacterial SSU rRNA
Rfam family: Bacterial small subunit ribosomal RNA
Source: RNAcentral
GUGGCGAGCGUUGUCCGGAUUUACUGGGCGUAAAGAGCGCGCAGGCGGCUGGUCAAGUCCGAUGUGAAAGCUCCCGGCUUAACUGGGAAAUUGCAUCGGAAACUGAUCGGCUGGAAGGUGGGAGAGGGUAGCGGAAUUCCCGGUGUAGUGGUGAAAUGCGUAGAUAUCGGGAGGAACACCAGUGGCGAAAGCGGCUACCUGGCCCAUUCUUGACGCUGAGGCGCGAAAGCUAGGGGAGCAAACGGGAUUAGAUACCCCGGUAGUCCUAGCCGUAAACGAUGAACACUAGGCGUAGUCGGUAUCGACCCCGGCUGUGCCGUAGCUAACGCAUUAAGUGUUCCGCCUGGGGAGUACGGCCGCAACGCUA